This is a long non-coding RNA of Pelmatolapia mariae (spotted tilapia), 510 nucleotides long. RefSeq lists it as uncharacterized. The record is from RefSeq and is a predicted model, not a curated record. Lineage: Eukaryota; Metazoa; Chordata; Actinopteri; Cichliformes; Cichlidae. The transcript has 3 exons.
UAGCCUGAAUCAUAUGCCACAGUCCAUUUAGUGUUCCAUUCUGCUUAACUGUGUUUUUAACUAAGAUUUCUAGACUUCUGGAAGAAACCUUUCCAAAAAUGGAAUAUCUUUGUGGAGGAUGGCUCUUGCAUAAGGCAACAGGUGGCAGUGGUCGACGAAAGCUCACUGUAAUUCCACCUGAAACAGAAGGAUAUUCUGUCAAAACACUGAAAGCUGUGUCAGGAGGUGGCAAAUCCACUUUUUACAUUGUACCUCUUCAGGAAACAUUAGACACAUCUCCUCUACCUCCCGACUCACAGCACUUUUCAAAGAUGCCAAAGAAGAUAUGUUACCAGUGUAAUGAAGUUAUGCCUCUGCAGAUGCUUGCAGUACACAUCAAUACGUGCAAAGGAAAAUUCUCUCCUGAUGAGACUGAUGAUGAGGAAUCUGAGUUAUGCAUUGUGAAAAGCAAAUGCAAGGUAAACCUAGCACAUUACUAAAAACCAUAGUAACUACAAUGAAUUUUGUAUC